RNAcentral lists this ribosomal RNA (460 nucleotides) under uncultured bacterium. RNAcentral's name for it is "partial 16S ribosomal RNA". It matches the Rfam family "Bacterial small subunit ribosomal RNA", at positions 338 to 795 of the family's 1533-position model. The record is from RNAcentral.
CCUACGGGUGGCAGCAGUGAGGACUAUUGGUCAAUGGGCGAGAGCCUGAACCAGCCAAGCCGCGUGAAGGAUGACGGUUCUCUGCUUUGUAAACUUCUUUUAUAUGGGAAUAAAGUGAGGUACGUGUUCCUUUCUGUAUGUACCUUACGAAUAAGCAUCGGCUAACUCCGUGCCAGCAGCCGCGGUAAUACGGAGGAUGCGAGCGUUAUCCGGAUUUAUUGGGUUUAAAGGGUGCGUAGGUGGUGAAUUAAGUCAGCGGUGAAAGUGUGGGGCUCAACCAUAAAAUUGCCGUUGAAACUGGUUGACUUGAGGAGAUUUGAGGUAGGCGGAAUGCGUGGUGUAGCGGUGAAAUGCAUAGAGAUCACGCAGAACUCCGAUUGCGAAGGCAGCUUACUAAACUAUAACUGACACUGAGGCACGAAAGCGUGGGGAUCAAACAGGAUUAGAUACCCUAGUAGUC